AAAGAGAAUGAAAAAGAGCAAAAAGAGAUUGAGAGUGAAAAAGAAAUUGAAGAAAGAAGAGAAAAUGAAUUAGAAAAAGAAACAAAAGAAAAAGACGUGGAAAGGGUAGUGAGGAAUGUUUCCACUAACCAAGAUAUGAAUUUUUCUUGUGUUGCUACUUUUCAGGUUCCCGAAAGAUCGAAAGAUAACUUUCAACUUCAAUACCUCUCAAAUGAAAGAUGCUUUCAUACGAUCAACUUAGGCAAAGAUGAAAUCACACUACAUGAUCCCGAAGGUAAGCGAGGUAAGGAAAUUUUAGAAACCGAGUCCAGUGCAGAUUUGAAAAUUAUUGAUAAAACUUUUGGUGACUUUGUUCUUAAAAGAUCCCCUCAUUUUGAUCCGAUUAAUUGUUACUCUUCGAUUGUGGUUGAUAAAGUCAUUACGAAAAGAAGCGUGAUUUUGUUAUUCUCUUGAUUUACCUUGUGUAAAAUCCUCGAAUUUGUCCAAAUCUGUUUUGGAGAAUAAGGUAACAAAAUUUUCCAAAUUUGUUUUCAAUUUAUAUUCGUGCCUUAAACAGUUUAUGUGGUUGUACAUGAAGUUUGAGUUCCAUUUGACAAAGGUUAACUCAACAACGGAGAUUCGACUACACUACGCCCCCGAUGAGCGAAGGUUUGUUUUAAAUGAAAAAGGUAAAAUCGACCCUUAUUCUUUUGCUUAUCAAGGUAAGAUGCUUGAAACCUUUGAAACACUUUUGUACUCCUCGGAUAGCGACAAAGAUCGUGUUGAUGAACACUUAGAUCGUGUUCUGUUAUACUUAUGAUUGGACUACAAGCUUGUUUCCGUUGCUAUUUACUAUCUCAUGGAUAUUAUUUUCAGUGGACUCAAUUGCCAUUAGUCCCGUUCGAUAGAGAAAAGUCGAGUUCAUUUGAUUUUUCAGAUUCGAGGACGAAUCUUUUUGAGGAAGGGGGAAUGAUACGAGUCAAAAAAGCCCAAAUUCUUGAAGGUGAGGCCCAAUAAGCAAAUUCCCAGCCCAAUCAAGAAAUCCAUCCAUACUUAGUUGAAAAUCAGGCCAAAUUGUCAAAGUGGCCCAAGUUGUAAAGUUUUAUUUUUAUUUUUAUUUUUUUAUUUAUUUACUUAGUUUAAAUUUUUAUGUCAAUAUUCAGUCCAAGAGUCCCAGAUAAAAUGACCUUUGACCGAAUUUCCAUAUUAAAAUAAUUAGGAGUUUUUUUUAUUUUAGUUUUCUAAUUAGAUUAGGACUAGUUAUAAGGCCUAGUUAAAGGCAUGGCUGUCCACCUUGUUAAACACUUAUCAUUAUUAUUAAAAUUUUAGAUUUGUUGAGAGCAGAAUUUUCUUUGAGUUUUCUCCAAGAUUUCUCUCUUGAGUUUUCUUUAGAAGUUGUUUUAACAAUCUUUUGAUUGUGGGAGCCAUCUUCAACCUUCUUCUUGCCAUUGAUAUUCUUUGGAGGGGAGAUUAGAGCCGUUUGAAGGGAGUUGUGAGAUCUUUCGAGAUUUCAAGGCUUCUUAGGACUUAUCUUUUAAUUUCUUACUGUCAAUUCUUUCUUUAUUUCUACUUGUGCUGAAUCAUUAUCUAAUCUAUUUUCUGUUCUUAUUGUGUUUUCAGCCUUUUUCAAUCUUAAGGAAUCAGCCCAAAAAUCCCCAAUUUCUAGGGUUUUUCCAUACUCUUUUUGGGUGAAAUUAGAUUGUCGAAAUUUGGGGAAAACUAUCUUGGUGUUCAAUUGGGCAGAAUCACAAUCUCCUUGAGGGUUUCAAGAACCCUAACACUUAUUUCUAUUCUCAAUUUGAUUCUUUGCUGAUUUGGGGAUUUUAUUUCAGAUCUGGAAAUUCAAAGUUCUAAUCUUUUAAUUUUUCUGUUUCGUUUCGGAUCUGAUUGUUUAGGGUUUUCGUAGGAGUUUCCCGUGACUUGGCAACUCGAUCUUGGUCCGCGCGCAACCCUAUAUCAAAACCACUCAUCUAAACCCCUCUCAAAGCUUCCGCAACCCUUAGCCUAAAUCACCCAAUUUUGACAACUCCAACUACUCCUCGUAGACGAUCGGGCAACUUUGCGAAACGACUCGAUUAACCUGGGCCAGAUUACAUCAGCUUGGCAAGCUUUUAUAGGCAUUUUGUUCCAAAUUUUUGCACCGUCGCUGCUCCAUUAACUAGUGUUAUUAAGAAAAAUUUAGCUUCCUUUUGGAGUGAUGAACAAGAGCAUUCUUUUAAUUUACUUAAAGAUCUUUUAACUAACGCCCCAUUACUUGUCUUGCCAGAUUUCAACAAGACCUUUGAAAUAGAGUGCGAUGCCUCGUGUUUAAGCAUUGGAGCCGUGUUAAUGCAAGAAGGUCGUUCGGUAGCCUAUUUUAGUGAAAAGUUGAAUGGGGCAACACUUAAUUAUCCUACCUAUGACAAGGAGAUGUACGCCUUGAUUCGAGCAUUGGAAACGUGGCAGCAUUAUCUGUGGCCUAAGGAAUUCGUUAUUCAUACGGACCACGAGGCGUUAAAACAUCUAAAGGGUCAACACAAGUUAAAUAAACGACAUGCCAAGUGGAUGGAGUUCCUAGAAUCUUUUCCGUAUGUUAUCAAAUACAAGCAAGGUAAAGACAAUGUCGUAGCAGAUGCGUUGUCCAGAAGGUAUGUUCUUUUAAAUUCGCUUGAAUCAAAAUUAAUGGGAUUUUUGUAUUUGAAAGACUUAUAUGAAAAUGAUCCUGACUUUGCCGAAAUGCACAAAGCUUGUGAAACUGGAUUGUGUGAGAAAUUUUAUCGUUUAAAUGAUUAUCUUUUUCGAGAAGGAAAACUCUGUAUUCCUCAAGGCUCUAUACGGAAUGUUUUAGUGAAUGAGGCGCAUAGCGGAGGCCUCAUGGGUCAUUUCAGAGUUGCAAAGACAUUGGCCACUUUGCGCAAGCAUUUCUAUUGGCCAAAGAUGAAACGAGACGUGGAGCGAGUUUGUGACUGAUGUAUCUCUUGCAAAAGGGCCAAGUCGAAGGUCAAGCCACAUGGGUUGUACACUCCUUUACCUAUUCCCGAAGGGCCUUGGAUCGACAUAUCAAUGGACUUUGUUCUAGGACUUCCUAGAACUAAAAAUGGCAAAGACUCAAUAUUUGUGGUUGUAGAUCGGUUUUCCAAAAUGGCACACUUUACUGCUUGCAAUAAAACUGAUGAUGCUUCGCAUGUUGCUAACUUGUUUUUCAGGGACGUGGUACGUUUACAUGGAGUGCCUAGGAAAAUCAUCUCCAAUCGAGAUGCAAAAUUUUUGAGUCAUUUCUGGAGAACACUUUGCGGAAAGAUAGGCACAAAGCUUUUGUUCUCGACCACUUGCCAUCCUCAAAUGGACGGGCAAAUUGAAGAAGUGAAUUGAGUCUUGUCGACGUUGUUACGAGCCAUCGUUUGAAAGAACCUCAAAACAUGGGAGGAAUGCCUACCGCACUAGAGUUUGUGAUGCGACCCCGGCCUCGUUGAUGAAUCUGAGUCGUUGUUGUGCCCGAUCGUGAAUUGGAGUAAUAUUAAGGUUUGUCGAAAAUAGGUUCAGAAAGAAGAGAUAAAAGCUUAAUUUAGUUCAAAAAUGGUGAUGGAAUGUAUUGGGGUUGAUAUGUGAUCGAAAACAAAGUAUUCAAGUUGAACCAACACAAUAUAAGUGUGUUAACCCGAGACUUAUAUGAAUACUUAUGUAUGUUUGUAUGGAUGGAAAAUGAAUAAAAUAGAACCUCGACCCACAAUCAAAGAUGAUAGGAACCUCGGUAUAAUUUGAACGCCACACUUUGGGUGCAAAGUGAUAAGUUCGAUAAAGAAAGACGAGUUGACGCCACAAGGGAUACUUGAUAAGUCAGACGAGUCUUUGGAGAACAAUGAGAGUUGAAAACAAACUCACAAAGUAAUCAGAUUUCAUAUAAGUUCAAAAAUAUCUUGUCUAACCAAAAAAAAUGAUUACAAAACAACUAUUUAUACUAAUAUUGAAUGUCAAACCGAAUGGUCACAAAAGGUAGAUAAAUGGACAGCUUCUAGAUGGUGUUAACUCAGCUGAAAACAUUCAUGGAACGUCUUCAAUGCUUGGCUGACCAUUGAGCUACACGAACAGCCUUGAAAGGUGUCUUUGAUGCGCACGAGGAGCCUUGAAUUGAAAAAGGUAUGCCAGGUUCGGCCAAGGGAGUGUACAAAGCCACUAGUGGUGUCUUCCAAGGAACUUUGAAGAGUGAAACGGCAGCCCUUAAAUGCAUGUCUCCUUUGAAGAAUCCUAGACCUUGGGGACGGCAAUGGCAUCAACAAUCUUUAAUGUCCUUCAAUAAUCAGCCUUGGAAAUUCGGAUGGCCAGCAGCAGCUUUAAAUGACGUCUUGAGCACACAAAUAGCUCCUAAUUACUUUCAAUCAACUUAAAUGAGCUGGACUAAAUUUGCAAGUCCUUUGGUGUGUUCAAGACAGCAAUAAGCAUCAGCUUUGGAACCUGAAAACGGCCUUUAAUGCUCCUUGGAAGCAUGAAACGUUCAGCCUUGAAUAAUUAAGCAAUAUACAUGCUUUGGCCGAAUGGUCACUUGGAAAUUCCCCAAACAACAGCUCUUUGCUGUACCCGAAGCAAUACCAGCCUUAAUGCUAUUCAAUAACGUCCCCCCUUGCAUGUUUUCAUUAAUGCCGUCCAUGCAUGGGGACAUCUCAUUAAAUCCAUGUCUUUGCUUCCCUUUAAUGCCGUUCCAUGCAUGGGAACAUCUCCUUAAUUCGUGGCUUUGCUGCACAUUAAAUCAGCAAGCAGCUUCUUUAAUUUCGUCCAUUAAAUGGCCACAUGAAAAAGCACAAGCAACUCCUUUAAUGCCGUCCAUGUACCUGCAUGCAUUGAAUCAGCCUUUAAAUCACGUUUUAGACAAAUUAAAAUGGUCAACAGACAUAUUAAAUUCGGCAGCCACAAUUAACUUCAACUGGACACCAUUUAAAACAUGCAUUAAAUUCGGCCAGAAACAUACAUUAAAUUCGGCCAAAGACAUACAUUAAAUUCGUCUGGAAAAUUAAUUGAAAACAUGAUAUGAGCUCGCCCAUGAAGAUAGGUGCCGAAUCCAUGGAGUUGCCUUUGGGGCCAAUUACUCGAGCACGUGCCAAGAAGUUCCAAGAUGCUGUAGCAAGCUAUAUUGCUCGAUUGUGGAGUGAUGGGUUGAUUGCCCAUAAAACGCCCAGCUCAACUAGCUUGAUUCGCAAUUUCUUACAAGCUGAUUUUAGCUUGUGUUAGCUCAAUUUAGCUCAAUUCGGCACUUAAUUAGUUCAAGGAGCUGAUUAAAUUUAUUUUCAAUAAAUUUAAUUAGUUGUGUUAGUUUAGAAUCAGCUCAAAUCACUUAAUUAAAUAAAUGUGUCUUAAUCUGGACAUUUUUUUAAUUCAGCUUAUUAAAUAUGUUUUAUAUUAGUACAUGCCUUUAAUAUGUCCAUAUUAAGUCAUAAACUAAAUGUGUCUAGUUUAAUUACAAAGUUUUAAUGUGUCUUGACUAAGACAAAUUUAUUAGUGGCUGCUAAUUAAUUUGUCUUAGCCGAAUUAAUGUGCAGAAUUUUAAUAUGUCCAGCUGCUGAUUUCAUGAGUAUUAAACUUGUCUUAACCACAUUUAUUUGAUGUUUUUCAGCUGGCUUAAUGGCAAAGAAAGCUCAUAAAGAAGGAGCAUGUACUUGGGCACAUGCAUGGACGGCAUUUAAAGUGCAGCUGCCUUGUGUUUCCAGCUGACUUUUCGUGCAGCUCAAUGGACUUCUAGCUGCUGUUUUGAGCUUCUCCAAGGGCCAAUUUCGUGGAGAGAAAUGGCCAAAGAAUGCCUCAUAAAUUCCAGCAGCCAAUUCAUGUGGAGGCUACUCAUAUUCGGCCAAAGAAGCAUAAUUUUUGAAGUUGUCCAUUUCUCUUCUCCAUAGCAGCAAUUAAGCUCUUUUAAAACAUUAAUUGAUGCAACCUUAGCCCGGGAAAUUACUACCGAAUCCAUUGAGCUGCCACGAGGACCAAUAACUCGAUCACGAGCUAAGAGAUUUCGAAAUGCAAUAGCAAGCUCUGUGGAACGAGCUUGGGAAGAGGGAGUGGCCGGAUUUGAUAGUCGUGCUUCAAACCGUUCAAAAGGCGUUACUUGCAAUUUAUUGCAAGCUGAAUUUGUUUCUUUUAAUUAACUUGUUUUACUUUAAUAAAUAAGUUGCUGAUCAAUUAAUUUAACUUAUCUUAAAGUUUUAAUACAUGAGUUAGUUAUUGAACUUUAUUAAAUAAGAUGCUUCUUAAUUGAUCUAGUUCCUAGGAUUAUUUAUUGAUGCAUAAAUUAAGUUCUUUAAAUUAUGCUUCUUUAAUUAAACUAGUUGCUGGAAUAAUUAUUGCAUAUAUGUUUUAGUUCAUUUAUUUAAGUUAGUUUAAUAUGUGUUAUGAUUAAUAAGUGUUUUAAUGUGUUUAAUAAACUCAUUUUAAUGUGUUUAUUGCAGGUGACUUUUUAGCUUAUAGUGGUUACAAUUCAAGGCUGUUACACAUUUAAUAAGUGGCUGUUCAAGUUCUUUUGAGUUACAAUUAAAGGGGCUGUUAAAAAAAGGAGCUUAAAGAUCAUUAAAAGGAGUUUUUAAAGAGCAUUUUAUGCCCUUUAAAAUUCAGCAGCAACUCUUCCACUUCCAGCCGUUUUUGGAGCUUUUAAGAGAAAUUAAUCAAGCCUUUGAAUGUCAUUAAGGAGCUGGUAAGAGAUGGUGUCUAUUCAACUAGCCAAGAACAACUCAAGAGUCAUUUUCUAAGCCAUUAAAGACAUUCAAAUCAGCUGAAUUAAAGUGAUUUUAUGGAAGGAGUUAUUUGGCUCAAAGAAUAAGAAAAGACAUCAGUUUUUUAUGGCACAUUAAGUGGAUGUUUUUGACCAUUCGGUUACCUUGUUCUAGCAUUAUUAAUAGAUGUAAUCAGCCAUAGAGGGAACAACUUUUUUUGCUGAAUAUAGAUGAAAUACUUGAAUUGUGAGCUAUCCAAUUCUCUUUGUUCUUUCGAAAUUGAUUUGACUUAUCAAGCAUAGCUUGUGGCGUCCAUCUUUUCUUUGUUGCUGAACUUAUCACCUUUGGUGUGGCGUUCAAUAUACCUUUGGUUCCUAUCAUAGUUGAUAGUGGGUCAAGGUUCCUUUCCUGUUUCCUUUAACCGAAAACACCUAAAGACCAUUUUGAGAUUCGGGUCAACAAUUUGUUAUUGUUGGUUCAUUUUCGGUCUUAGCCAAUUAAUUUGUUAUUGUUUCCUCUUUAUUUUGUUUAUUACCUUUGUUUGAAGCCAUUAUCUCUAUUUUUUUUCAUUUUAAAACCGAAAUGAAUCCAUCCUUACUCAAUUCACGAUUGGACAACACAUACGACUCAAAACAUCACGAGACGAGUUCGUAUCAAAUUGGUAUCAGAGCUAGCGAAUUUGGUGUAAGAAUCGACGUUGUCGGCAUUAUGGUAUAGUAGUUUCUCGAAAAAAACUCAAAAAAAAUUUGAAAAAAAAAUUCGAAAAAAAACUAGUUUCCAUUCAAACUUAAAAGAUUGGAUAUCAAGUUGUGAAAAAAAAAUUUGAAAAGAAAAUUGUGAAAAAAAAUUUGAAAAAAAAAAGAGAGAGCUAGUUUUGAAAUUUAGUUUUUGUUUGCUGCCCAAAAUUUUAGUCAUUACUACCUUCUACUUUUCGCCACACCAAACAAUUACAUUUCUUUAUUUCAAGCCUACUUUCCUUUGUCCUACAAUAUUCUUUCCAAGCCCAAACAUCAAGUUUGUAAGCCGACCCACAACAAGUGCCUAUUAAGUUUAAAUAAUUCCUAAGAACUUAGAGAGGAGGAGUGAGUGGAAAGAGGCAAGAGAGUGGUGAGUUUAUUCGAGAGUAUAAAAGCCAAGGAAGUGAGAUUUCUUUGUGAGUGGAUAGUGAGAUUCUUUGUUGUGAGUUCAUUUUAAAAAAAAUAUGUCACGAAUCCGGAAAGAAAUCAAAAUGUGGAAGGAGGGUUCCGUCCCGUAAGAAAUGUUGGAGGAGGAGUGCCAGAUCUUACCCUUCAAGCAAUUAUGCGAGAGAUGGAGCGAUUAUUUGAUAGAAAACUUGAACCAAUUGAAGAUCGAUUAUAUCGAGUCGAGAGACGAGAACAACGUGAGAUGACUCCAGAAGAUGCAAGACAAGAGCGAGAACGUCCAAUUCAAGAUCCUUAUGAAGCAAGUGGACAAGAAAGUGAUCACUCAUCUGCCCAAAGUGUACGACGUCGAGGCCGUCAACGACAAUGAGGUCCUAGAGAUCGUGAACGACCAGAUGACAAUCUUAAGAAUAUCAAGAUGACAAUUCCACCAUUCCAAGGUAAGAAUGACCCUGAAGCUUAUUUGGAGUGGGAAAAGAAGAUUGAGCUUGUUUUUUAUUGCCACAACUAUUCGGAGAGUAAAAAGGUGAAACUCGUGAAAAUUGAUUUUUCUGAUUAUGCCAUAGUGUGGUGGGACCAGCUUGUAACUAGUCGACGAUGAAAUGGUGAAAGACCCAUCUCUACUUGGGGAGAAAUGAAAUCAGUCAUGCGGAAAAGAUUUAUUCCAUCAUACUACCAUCGAGAUCUUUAUCAACGACUUCAAAACCUUACUCAAGGAAAUAGAAGUGUUGAAGAUUAUUAUAAGGAGAUGGAGAUAGCGAUGAUUCGAGCUGAUAUCGAGGAGGAUCGAGAGGCAACCAUGGCUAGGUUCCUUGCGGGUUUAAACCGUGACAUUGCCAACAAGUUGAACUACAACACUAUGUUGAAGUGAUGGACAUGGUUCACAUGGCGAUUAAGGUUGAAAAGCAACUUAAGCGAAAGGAGUUAGUAGACCCUAUGCCAAUUCUUCAACCAACAAAUGGAAUCAAGGAGUCAACAAACCCCCUGUUAGAACAAAAGAGCCGACUGUAGUAGUUAAAUCAAAUCAACCUAUUGGAGAGACAAGUCGAAAUAAAAAUAAGCAAGCGCCAAAUCGCACGAGAGACAUAAGAUGUUUCAAGUGUCAAGGCCGAGGGCACAUAGCUAGUCAAUGUCCCAAUCGACGAAUUAUGGUGAUAAGAGCUGAUGGAGAAGUUGAGUCGGAGGAAGAGGAUGAAAAUGAACCUGAAAUGCCAUCCGAUGAUGAAGAUUUAGAGUUACCCGUUGAAGGAGAAAUUCUUGUGGUGAAGCGUAGCCUCAGUAUUCAAAGUGUUGAAACUGAUCAACAAAGGGAGAAUAUUUUUCACACUCGAUGCCACAUUCAAGGCAAGGUAUGUAGUAUGAUCAUUGAUGGUGGUAGCUGUACUAAUGUAGCUAGUAUUAUGUUGGUGGAAAAGAUAGGUUUGGCUACAACUAAACAUCCAACUCCAUACAAGUUGCAAUGGCUAAAUGAUGGAGGUGAGCUGAAAGUAACAAAACAAGCUGUGGUGGCAUUUUCUAUUGGAAAGUACCAAGAUGAAGUGGUGUGCGAUGUAGUUCCUAUGCAUGCGGGACAUCUACUUUUGGGACGUCCUGAUACGACCCCGCCCCGGAAACAUUUUUGGUUCAGCUCAUUUGAGCUCAAUUCAGCUCAUUGAGCUCGUUAUUAGCUCACUAGCUCAUUUAAUUUAAUUUGCUGGAAUAAAUUAAUUAGUUAAGUUAGUUAUUUUAGCUUAAAUAAUUACUAAGUAUUUAAUUAAGAAAUCUGGACAUUUUAAAUAUGUUUUAUUGGUUUUAAUGCAUGCUUUAAAUUUGUCUUAAGACUAUUUAAAUGUGUUCUAUUUAGUACAACUUUUAAUGUGUCUGGACGGAUUUAAUGCUGUUGUUUAAUGUGUCUUUAGUGCUUUAAAGUGCCGAAUUUAAUAUGUCUAAUUGUUGACUUAAUUCAGCCGAAUUAAUGAACCACUUUAAGGUGUCUUGUGGCUGCCGAAUUUAAUGUUAACUUAAUUCAUGUCCAGCCGAAUUAAUAUGGCUAAUUAAUAUGUCUUGGUUCAAGCAUGAGAUUAAUUAUGUUCAAAUAGGGCUGCCGAAAUUAAUUGUAAUGUGCAUGAAUUAUUUGACCGAAUUUAUUUUGUGUCUGCAGGUCAUUGAAUUCGGCUAAAUGGCAAAGGAAACAUGCAUUUAAGGAGAUGUUCCCAUGCAUGGAACGGCAUUUAAAGGGAAGUUGGCUGCUGCAUUUUUCUCCCUAUGCAUGGGACGGCAUUAAAAUCCCUCUUCUCCAUGUGCUAUUUCGGUCCCUUCAAUAGAGCCAUUAAUGUGCCAUCUCAAUUAAGAGAAUGCAUGAGCAGCAAAUUAAAACCUGCAUUUAAGCUGCCGUUUGAGCUCACCUAGGAGCCUUUUUCGUGGGAAACAAAGGAGCCUUAAAAGCACCAUCCAAAUUGAAGGGAUGAAUGGGCAGAUUCUAGAAGUCAAAUUUAUUACCCAUGAUGAACAAACAUUUGCUUCAUGACUAAGGAUGCAUCUAUGGAUGGCAAGGGGGGGACGAAUGUGACUUAAAUGUCAUUCAAUGGAUGAACAUAUAUCAUUAAAAUCGGUUCAUGGGCUGAUUCAUGUUACUUAUUAAUGGCCAGAAUUGGCUAUUCAUGUCCUAGUUUUAGUAUAAAUAGUUGGCUUGUAAGCAUGUAAAAGGUUAGACAAUAUACUUUUAAACUUUAUAUGAAAUUUGUUUACUUUGUGAGAUUGUUUUCAACUCUCAUUGUUCUCCAAAGACUCGUCUGAGUUAUCAAGUAACCCUUGUGGCGUCAACCCGUCUUUCUAUCUGAACUUAUCACUUUAAUCCCAAAAGUGUGGCGUUCGAUUCGUACUGAGGUUCCUAUCAUUUUUGAUAGCGGGUCGAAGUUUCUAUCCACUUAACAAACCUUCCAUCAACACCCUACCAACCUAAGCAUUCUCCUAAGUUACGGGUUAACACACUCCUAUUGUGUUAGUUCGGCUUUUGAAUACUUAGCCCAAACUUCAUCCAUUGAUUUAUGUUUCAUUUCCUAAACCAACAAAACUUUAUUGAGCCUAAAUAAUUCCUUUUUCUUCUAGCCUAUUUUGUAAAGCUUUCAAAUUACUCCAAUUCACGAUCGGGCACAACAACGACUCGGAUUCAUUAACCGGGCUGGAUCGUAUCAUUUGGUAUCAGAGCUAGCUGAAUCGGAGUAAGAUCGACGUUAUCGGUAUUACGGUAUUGUAAAAAAAUAUAAAAAAAAUUCGAAAAAAAAAAAUUUUGAAAAAAAAAUUCAAAAAAAAAGUUUGUAUUCAAUUUAUUUGUACUUUUUGUAUUUAGUAUUGAAGAAAAAAAAAGAAAAAAAUGCGAAAUUAAAAAAAAAGAAGAAAAAAAUCAAAAUUGAAAAAAAAAAGAGUGAUUGAAAUUCAUUUUGGGUUUGUAAAAGCAUUGCUUGUUGCCCGAAGGACCAUAUCUAUAUAGCCACACUUAACCAAUUAUAUUUUGUUUGAUAGCCUACCGUUUCCGACAUCAUUACCUACCAAGCCAAAUCAAUUUUGUAAGCCGACGCCAAACGGUAUUGAUUCGUCGACUUAGUUUGCGAAGAACUUCGAGAGGCAAAAAAUCGAGUGGAAAAAGGCAAGAGUGAUUGGUGUGAGUUCAUUCGAGAGAAGAAAAGCCAAAAGCGAGCGUAAACACGAGUGGAGUGAAAAUUUUCUUUCUGAGUGACUUGCGAGGCUUUGUGGUGAGGUAUUUACUUUUUAUUUUAAACACUUAUUCCUUUUAGCAAAAGAAAAAAAAAUGUCUCGAGAAGAAUUUUCCGAAAUAGACUUCCAAUAUUUGAUGCAAGAGAUGCAAAGAAUGGUGAAAUCAAAAUUUGAUAAGUUGCAUGAUAGAUUGGAUCGAGUGGAGGAAAGAUUCCGACGAAAGCCAAAUUCACCGAAUCAAGAGACAGAGACAAGAUCAUUUCGAAAGCACACAUUCCAUGAUUAUUCGAGAAGAGAUGAACGAGUUUCUUAUGCUUCGAGAUAUUUUCCCACGGAGGGUUAUUCACAAAGAGAUGUUCGUGACUUGCACGAUGAAUCUGCCAUUUCUUUCGAACGUGAAGCUUGUCGCUAUGAUUCUUAUAAGUUAUCAUCUUCUUGUAAUGGAAGAAUAAGACAAAAAGAAAAUAGAAGAAAAGAAAGACAAGAGAUGUUGAUGCAAGAAAAUGAACGAAUCUUGAAUGAAAUUGAGAGAAGAAAAAAAGAAAAUGAGAGUGAGAAAAAGAAAAAAAGAAUUUGAGAUUGAGAUUGAGAUUGAUAUUGAUAUUGAGAAAAAAUUGAAAAGGAAAAAGAUGUUGAAAAAGAAAUGAGAGAAAAGGAAGAUGGUGAGCGAGAACAAGAAAAAGAGAGGAAAAUUUUAACUAACCCCCGAGAUGUUUGUUUUUGUUCUGUUCCUUCUUUUCAGGUUUCGACAAAUCUCUAUGACGAAUAUCAACUUCAAUAUCUUCCUGACGAGCGACGUUUUUGCCUGACCGAAAAAGGUAAGGAUGAAGUUGAAAUUGAACCACAUGAGCCCGAAGGUAAGAUAGGUAAGGAACACCUAGCACUUGAAUUUCCAUUAUCUUCCUUGAAUGUGGAUAAACAUAAUGUCGACUUCAUCUUUGUAAAAGCUCCAUGCCAAAAAGUGGUUGAUUUUCCUUCAUUGAUUAGUGUUUUAAUCUCAAAUGGUGGUGAGACGAGCUUUCCCAAAACAAAUUUUUACGUUGACAAGUUUGGUUUAAUGAACUCUUUGCUACUCUUUGGCGUUAAUAAUCAAAUUCAAAUUUUUAAACCCAGAAUCUGUUUUAGUACAUUUGUUGGGAAAUUCAAGCAUGACCAAUUGUGUGCGAACAAUUUCUAUUGUUUUGAUGCUUGGUUGUUCAAUAAGGAAACGAGGUAUGAUAAAUUUGAUUUCAAUUCAAUCCUUAGUCUAUUUCUGUGGUUAUACCUGAAGUACGUAUUUCAUUUCGACAAGGUUAAUUCCACCAAGGAGCUUCGAUUGCAUUACAAGUCCAAGGAGAGAAGAUUUGUGAUGAUCGACGAAGGUAAAAAUGAUCCUUGUUUUUCCAUUCUUCAAGGUGAACAAGGUAUGACUCAUGAGAACUUUAAAAUCUUUCUGCCCUAUUCGGUUGGAAAUAAACAUCUUUUUGAAGAAUUGGUUUUUGCAAAGUAUUUCAAUCGUGAAGUGUUUAAUUGUUCAGCUUUAUUUGAAAGUGAUUUAUCUAUUUUGAUUGAUGCUGAUAAUGCGAAUUUGGAAGAACCCAUCGUUCAAUUUCCAUUGCCAAGUUUUAUUGUGCGAGAUUUCUAUUCAUUUGUUUGUGAUGAAAGGAUUAUGCUGAUGGUAUCUUCAUUUCGUUUGAAAUAUGUUGGUAAGACUAUUAUUGUUGAUAAAUUUGUUGGUGAAUCAAUAGGCAAACGUCCACUACAAGUUUCAAUCGAACAAAAGCAUGAAUCCAAUGGUUUUUUUUAUUUACCUGAUAAUGUAGAAAAUGUGUGGUCAUUGAAUUGUUGUGAAAGCUUACUAUGUUUGAACGAAGAAAUUUGGAAAAGAUUCAAGGCAAAUGAACGUUUUAACAUACCUGAUUUUGUGAGCCUAUCCAUUCCAUGCUAUCGUAAAGGGUUGUAUAAGGACAAACAUUUUAUGAGGGACAAGAAGCUCGACUUGAGGGCAAGUCGCUUCGAAGAAGGGACGUCCUGAUACGACCUCGCCCCGGAAACAUUUUUGGUUCAGCUCAUUCGAGCUCAAUUCAGCUCAUUGAGCUCGUUAUUAGCUCACUAGCUCAUUUAAUUUAAUUUGCUGGAAUAAAUUAAUUAGUUAAGUUAGUUAUUUUAGCUUAAAUAAUUACUAAGUAUUUAAUUAAGAAAUCUGGACAUUUUAAAUAUGUUUUAUUGGUUUUAAUGCAUGCUUUAAAUUUGUCUUAAGACUAUUUAAAUGUGUUCUAUUUAGUACAGCUUUUAAUGUGUCUGGACGGAUUUAAUGCUGUUGUUUAAUGUGUCUUUAGUGCUUUAAAGUGCCGAAUUUAAUAUGUCUAAUUGUUGACUUAAUUCAGCUGAAUUAAUGAACCACUUUAAGGUGUCUUGUGGCUGCCGAAUUUAAUGUUAACUUAAUUCAUGUCCAGCCGAAUUAAUAUGGCUAAUUAAUAUGUCUUGGUUCAAGCAUGAGAUUAAUUAUGUUCAAAUAGGGCUGCCGAAAUUAAUUGUAAUGUGCAUGAAUUAUUUGACCGAAUUUAUUUUGUGUCUGCAGGUCAUUGAAUUCGGCUAAAUGGCAAAGGAAACAUGCAUUUAAGGAGAUGUUCCCAUGCAUGGAACGGCAUUUAAAGGGAAGUUGGCUGCUGCAUUUUUCUCCCUAUGCAUGGGACGGCAUUAAAAUCCCUCUUCUCCAUGUGCUAUUUCGGUCCCUUCAAUAGAGCCAUUAAUGUGCCGUCUCAAUUAAGAGAAUGCAUGAGCAGCAAAUUAAAACCUGCAUUUAAGCUGCCGUUUGAGCUCACCUAGGAGCCUUUUUCGUGGGAAACAAAAGAGCCUUAAAAGCACCAUCCAAAUUGAAGGGAUGAAUGGGCAAAUUCUAGAAGUCAAAUUUAUUACCCAUGAUGAACAAACAUUUGCUUCAUGACUAAGGAUGCAUCUAUGGAUGGCAAGGGGGGGGACGAAUGUGACUUAAAUGUCAUUCAAUGGAUGAACAUAUAUCAUUAAAAUUGGUUCAUGGGCUGAUUCAUGUUACUUAUUAAUGGCCAGAAUUGGCUAUUCAUGUCCUAGUUUUAGUAUAAAUAGUUGGCUUGUAAACAUGUAAAAGGUUAGACAAUAUACUUUUAAACUUUAUAUGAAAUUUGUUUACUUUGUGAGUUUGUUUUCAACUCUCAUUGUUCUCCAAAGACUCGUCUGAGUUAUCAAGUAACCUUUGUGGCGUCAACCCGUCUUUCUAUCCGAACUUAUCACUUUAAUCCCAAAAGUGUGGCGUUCGAUUCGUACUGAGGUUCCUAUCAUUUUUGAUAGCGGGUCGAAGUUUCUAUCCACUUAACAAACCUUCCAUCAACACCCUACCAACCUAAGCAUUCUCCUAAGUUACGGGUUAACACACUCCUAUUGUGUUAGUUCGGCUUUUGAAUACUUAGCCCAAACUUCAUCCAUUGAUUUAUGUUUCAUUUCCUAAACCAACAAAACUUUAUUGAGCCUAAAUAAUUCCUUUUUCUUCUAGCCUAUUUUGUAAAGCUUUCAAAUUACUCCAAUUCACGAUCGGGCACAACAACGACUCGGAUUCAUUAACCGGGCUGGAUCGUAUCACGUCCAUGGCAGUUUGAUAGGCGCGUGAUCUAUGAUGGUUAUACAAAUCGCUAUACAUUCAAGCAUCGAGGUAAGAAUGUAACUUUAGCGCCAUUGACUCCAAAGCAAGUGUACCAAGAUCAAUUGAAGUUGAAGGAAAAGAUUGAAAAAGAGAGAGACAAGAAAAAUGAAAAAAAGAAAGAGAAAAUUGAGGGAGUGGAGGUAAAAGUAAGAGAGGAACAAGAAAGUCAAAAAGAAAUUGAGAGUGGUAAAAUGAGCGUAUUUGCGAGAGAAAAAGAGAUAAGAAAAUCAUUGUUGUUGCAUCAAUCCGUACUUGUACUUAUGUACAAGGAAUGCUUAUUUGAUGCUAACGAACUUGAUAAUUCUUUACCUUUGUCUAUUGUUUCUUUGCUUCAGGAAUUCAAAGACAUUUUCCCAGAAGAUGUGCCAAGUGGAUUGCCUCCUUUUCGAGGUAUUGAACACCAAAUAGACUUUAUUCCUGGAGCUACAAUUCCAAAUCGACCAGCUUAUCGAAGCAACCCAGAGGAAACUAAAGAGUUGCAACGACGAGUGGCGGAAUUAAUGGAAAAAGGCUAUAUACGGGAGAGUUUAAGUCCAUGUGCGGUUCCCGUUCUGUUGGUGCCUAAAAAAGAUGGUUCAUGGAGGAUGUGCGUAGAUUGCCGAGCUAUCAAAAAAAUUACCGUCAAAUACCGACAUCCCAUUCCUAGACUUGAUGAUAUGUUAGACGAGCUUAGUGGAGCAAAAUUGUUCUCUAAGAUUGAUCUGAAAAGCGGGUAUCAUCAAAUUCGUAUGCGAGAGGGGGACGAGUGGAAGACUGCGUUUAAGACUAAAUAUCGUUUGUAUGAGUGGUUAGUGAUGCCUUUUGGCCUCACCAAUGCACCGAGUACUUUCAUGAGGUUGAUGAACCACGUUUUGAGGUCAUUCAUUGGUCGUUUUUGCGUAGUUUAUUUUGAUGAUAUUUUAAUUUACAGCAAAUCAUUAACUGAACAUCUUGAACAUUUGCAUGCUAUUUUGAAGGUUUUACGAAAGGAAGUAUUGUAUGCAAACCUUAAGAAAUGUAACUUUUAUACUGACAAAGUUGUUUUUCUAGGUUUUGUUGUAAGUGCGAAUGGAUUAGAGGUGGACCAAGAGAAGAUUAAAGCAAUACAAGAAUGGCCACAACCGAAUAACAUCAGCCAAGUUAGAAGCUUUCAUGGCCUUGCAAGCUUCUAUAGGAGGUUUGUACCGAAUUUUAGCACUCUUGCUGCCCCAUUAGCUGGUAUUAUCAAAAAAUUCACCUUUUAUUUGGUCUGAUGAACAAGAAUAUGCUUUUGUUAAAAUCAAAGAUUGCUUGACUAAUGCUCCACUUUUAUGUUUGCCGAAUUUUAACAAAAUUUUCGAGGUAGAAUGUGAUGCUUCUGGAAUAGGAAUAGGUGCGGUUUUAACGCAAGAUGGGCGACCGGUGGCUUAUUUUAGCGAGAAACUUAAUGGAGCUACGCUCAAUUAUCCCACAUAUGACAAAGAAAUGUACGCAUUGAUACGUGCAUUAGAAACAUGGCAGCAUUACCUUUGGCCUAAGGAGUUCGUUAUACACACGGACCAUGAGGCUUUGAAGCAUUUGAGAGGGCAAACUAAGCUUAACAAACGACAUGUAAAAUGGGUAGAAUUCUUAGAAUCCUUUCCAUAUGUGAUUAAGUAUAAGCAAGGUAAGGAAAAUAUCGUUGCAGAUGCUUUAUCGCGAAGGUAUGCUCUUUUAAAUUAUUUGGAUGUUAAGUUACUUGGUUUUGCUUAUUUAAAAGAACUAUAUGCUGAUGAUUCUGAUUUUGGAGAAGUUUACAAGUUAUGUGUGCAAGGUGCGUAUGACAGGUACUAUCAGCAAGAUGGAUUCCUAUUUCGAGAAAAUAAGUUGUGCAUACCCCAAGGAUCAACUAGAAAUUUGCUGGUUCAUGAAGCACAUAGUGGGGGUUUAAUGGGACAUUUUGGUAUUGCCAAAACUUUGGCCGUUCUUCAAGAACACUUUUAUUGGCCAAAGAUGAAACGAGAUGUGGCUAAAGUGUGCAAUCGCUGUAUUGUUUGCAAGAAGGCGAAAUCAAGGGUCCAGCCACAUGGACUCUAUACUCCAUUACCGAUUCCAGAAAUGCCAUGGAUGGAUAUUUCUAUGGACUUUGUUUUGGGUCUUCCUAGAACAAAGAAUGGCAAAGAUUCUGUGUUUGUUGUAGUUGAUCGGUUUUCAAAAAUGGCUCAUUUCAUUGCAUGUAACAAAACUGACAAUGCUUUAAAUGUUGCCAAUCUAUUUUUUAGGGAGAUUGUACGAUUGCAUGGAAUUCCAAGAACCAUUGUUUCGGAUCGAGACACUAAAUUUCUUAGCCACUUUUGGAGGACUUUAUGGGGAAAGAUUGGAACUAAGCUAUUAUUUUCCACAACAAGUCAUCCCCAAACUGAUGGCCAAACAGAGGUUGUUAAUAGAGUUCUGUCAACACUACUGCGGGCCAUUAUACGUAAGAAUUUAAAAACUUGGGAGGAGUGUCUACCUCACAUUGAAUUUGCAUACAAUCGAUCGGUACAUUCAGCUACCAAGUUUUCACCAUUUGAGGUAGUGUAUGGAUUUAAUCCCUUAACUCCAUUGGAUUUAUUGCCUUUACCUUUUGAUAAAUUGGUGCAUGUAGAUGGAAAGAAAAAGGCAGAUUUUGUGAAACAAUUACAUCAGCGAGUUAGGGAUAAUAUUGAACGAAGAACGGAGCAAUAUGCACAUCAAGUUAACAAGGGCCGUAAACGAGUAAUAUUUGAACCUGGUGAUUGGGUUUGGAUUCACAUGCGCAAGGAGAGAUUUCCCGUUCAAAGGCGAUCCAAACUAUUACCACGAGGAGAUGGACCUUUUCAAGUCUUGGAGAGAAUUAAUGAUAACGCUUAUAAGUUAGAUUUACCUGGUGAGUAUGGGGUUAGUGCUACUUUUAAUGUUGCUGAUUUAUCUCUUUUCGAUGUAGGUGACGAUUUGGGAGCAAAUCGCCUCGAAGAGGGGGGAAUGAUGCAACCUUAGCCCGGGAAAUUACUACCGAAUCCAUUGAGCUGCCACGAGGACCAAUAACUCGAUCACGAGCUAAGAGAUUUUGAAAUGCAAUAGCAAGCUAUGUGGAACGAGCUUGGGAAGAGGGAGUGGCCGGAUUUGAUAGUCGUGCUUCAAACCGUUCAAAAGGCGUUACUUGCAAUUUAUUGCAAGCUGAAUUUGUUUCUUUUAAUUAACUUGUUUUAGUUUAAUAAAUAAGUUGCUGAUCAAUUAAUUUAACUUAUCUUAAAGUUUUAAUACAUGAGUUAGUUAUUGAACUUUAUUAAAUAAGAUGCUUCUUAAUUGAUCUAGUUCCUAGGAUUAUUUAUUGAUGCAUAAAUUAAGUUCUUUAAAUUAUGCUUCUUUAAUUAAACUAGUUGCUGGAAUAAUUAUUGCAUAUAUGUUUUAGUUCAUUUAUUUAAGUAAGUUUAAUAUGUGUUAUGAUUAAUAAGUGUUUUAAUGUGUUUAAUAAACUCAUUUUAAUGUGUUUAUUGCAGGUGACUUUUUAGCUUAUAGUGGUUACAAUUCAAGGCUGUUACACAUUUAAUAAGUGGCUGUUCAAGUUCUUUUGAGUUACAAUUAAAUGGGCUGUUAAAAAAAGGAGCUUAAAGAUCAUUAAAAGGAGUUUUUAAAGAGCAUUUUAUUCCCUUUAAAAUUCAGCAGCAACUCUUCCACUUCCAGCCGUUUUUGGAGCUUUUAAGAGAAAUUAAUCAAGCCUUUGAAUGUCAUUAAGGAGCUAGUAAGAGAUGGUGUCUAUUCAACUAGCCAAGAACAACUCAAGAGUCAUUUUCUAAGCCAUUAAAGAUAUUCAAAUCAGCUGAAUUAAAGUGAUUUUAUGGAAGGAGUUAUUUGGUUCAAAGAAUAAGAAAAGACAUCAGUUUUUUAUGGCACAUUAAGUGGAUGUUUUUGACCAUUCGGUUACCUUGUUCUAGCAUUAUAAAUAGAUGUAAUCAGCCAUAGAGGGAACAACUUUUUUUGCUGAAUAUAGAUGAAAUAUUUGAAUUGUGAGCUAUCCAAUUCUCUUUUUUCUUUCAGAAUUGAUUUGACUUAUCAAGCAUAGCUUGUGGCGUCCAUCUUUUCUUUGUUGCUGAACUUAUCACCUUUGGUGUGGCGUUCAAUAUACCUUUGGUUCCUAUCAUAGUUGAUAGUGGGUCAAGGUUCCUUUCCUGUUUCCUUUAACCGAAAACACCUAAAGACCAUUUUGAGAUUCGGGUCAACAAUUCGUUAUUGUUGGUUCAUUUUCGGUCUUAGCCAAUUAAUUUGUUAUUGUUUCCUCUUUAUUUUGUUUAUUACCUUUGUUUGAAGCCAUUAUCUCUAUUUUGUUUCAUUUUAAAACCGAAACAAAUCGAUCCUUACUCAAUUCACGAUUGGACAAAACAUACGACUCAAAACAUCACGAGACGAGUUCGUAUCAUUAAUUGAAUGUGAAUUUUCUCCAUUAAAGGGGCCAGCCGAAUCAUCUUUUUCUAGAAGGUUAAUUUUCAGAAUUUUAUCACAUGAAUGUAACUAGGAAAUUUCUAGGAAGUUUCCUCAAGAAACUUAAGGCAUAAGGAUCUGAUUAGAUAGGCUAUUCGGCUGCCUUAGUCAAGCUAUAAAUAGGUCAUGUAAUUCACAUUUUGAGGUGAAUGAACAAUUUGAUAGCUUUGCUAAAUUGUGAGGUUGUUUUCAACUCUCGUUAUUCUCCAAAAACUUGUGAGACUUAUCAAACAUCUUUGUGGCGUCAAACUUGUUUUUGUUUCUUCCCGAACUUAUCACUUUAAUCCCAAAAGUGUGGCGUUCGAUUCAUACUAAGGUUCCUAUCAUCAUUGAUAGUGGGUCGAAGUUUCUAUCCAUUUAACAAACCUUCCAUCCAUCCUUACCAACCUAAGCAUUCUCCUAAGUUACGGGUUAACACAUUCCUAUUGUGUUAGUUCGGCUUUCGAAUCCUUAGCCAAAUUGCUUCCAUUGUUUUCUAUUUCAUUUCCUAAACCAACAAAACUCUUUUGAGCCUAAAUAAACCUCUUUCUUCUAGCCUAUUUUGUAAAGCCUCAAUUUACUCCUAAUUCACGAUCGGGCGAUCUUUACGACUCAAUUCGAUCUCGAGGUGAGGGCAUACAAGUUGGUAUCAGAACUAGCUAAAUCGGAGUAAGAAUCGUCGUCUUCGGUAUUACGAGAUUGUAAAAAAAAUUCAAAAAAAAAAUUCGAAAAAAAAUUCAAAAAAAAGCAAAAAAAAGUUUGUAUUCAAUUUAUUUUUCCUUUGUGUAUUCAGUAUUGAAAAAAAAAUUCGGAAUUAAAAAAAAAGAAGUGAUUGAAAUUCAUUUUGAGCUUGUAAAAGCAUUGCUUGCUGCCCGAAGGACCACAUCUAUACAGCCACACUAAUUUCCUUCUAUUUUCUUUGUUUGUUAGCCUACCCGAUCCUAAAAUAUUACCCUACCAAGCCACAUCUAUUUUGUAAGCCGACCCAAACAAUUUUGAUUUGUCAAACUUAGUUUGCAGAGAAUUUUGGGAAGUGAAAAUUGAGUGGUAAAAGGCAAGAGAGAUUAGUGAGACUAUUAGAGAGUAGAAAAGCCAAAGUGAGUGUUUAUUCUUGUGAGUGAUUGGUGAGUUCUUGUUGUGAUUCUUUAAAGAACUUUUAAAAAUGUCACGGAGUCCAGAAAGGAAUCCAAACAAGGGAGGUGGAUUUCGUCCAAUAAGAAACGUUGGAAGGGGAGUGCCGGAUCUCACUUUGCAAGCCAUUAUGCAAGAAAUGGAGCGAUUGUUUGAUCGUAAGCUUGAACCAAUCGAAGACCGCCUAUAUCGAGUCGAAACCCGAAGGCAAUUCGAAGCGACUCCGAAAGAUGCAAGGCGAGAACGAGAGCAACCAAUUGACAACUAUAAUGAAGAAGAAUCUGAAGGUGAUCAUUUAUCUGAACAAGGAAACCCUCAACGGUUCCAACGAAAUUGAGUCCCAAGAAAUUGAGACCGUCCGGAUGACAAUCUCAAAAAUAUUAAGAUGUCUAUUCCGCCGUUUCAAGGGAAGAAUGAUCCCAAAUCUUACUUGGAGUGGGAAAAGAAAAUGGAACUCGUCUUUGAGUGCCAUAACUAUUCGGAAAAAAAAAGGUAAAGCUCGCUGCUAUUGAAUUCUCGGAUUAUGCGAUCGUGUGGUGGGAUCAAUUGGUGACUAGCCGAAGGAGGAAUGGGGAGAGGCCUAUCUCUACGUGGGCCGAAAUGAAGGCCGUUAUGCGCAAGCGUUUUGUUCCCUCCUAUUACCAUCGGGAGUUGUACCAACGAUUGCAAAAUCUCACACAAGGCAACUGAACUGUCGAGGACUACUAUAAAGACAUGGAAAUCGCUAUGAUAAGAGCCGACGUGGAGGAGGAUCGUGAAGCAACAAUGGCGAGAUUUUUAGCUGGCCUAAAUCGGGAUAUUGCUAAUAUCGUCGAGCUUCAACACUAUGUAGAAGUUAUGGACAUGGUGCAUAUGGCAAUAAAAGUUGAAAAACAAUUGAAACGGAAAGGACCCACGCGGACAUAUCCAACGGCUUCUACCAACAAGUGGGCUCAAGGGACUAGCAAAGCUCCCAAUCGGCCUAAGGAGCCUUUCGUUGCUGCCAAACCCAAUCAAGUAAGUGCCGAUGCUACCAAAAAUAAAAACGAGGCUAUCUCGAAUCAUUCUCGUGAUAUCAAGUGUUUCAAGUGUCAAGGAAGAGACCACAUUGCGAGUCAAUGUCCUAAUCGACGAGUGAUGGUGGUUCGUUCCAAUGGCGAGAUUGAGUCCGAAGAUGAACAAGAGGAGGAGCCUGAAAUUCCCAUGGAGGAAGGUGAAGAGCUCGAGCUGCCCUUUGAAGGAGAAUUACUUGUUGUCAAAAGGAGCUUGAAUAUCCAAGUAGCCGAGGAAGAACAACAACGAGACAACAUCUUUCACACUCGUUGCCAUGUUCAAGGCAAGGUGUGUAGUUUAAUUAUUGACGGAGGUAGUUGCACCAAUGUCGCAAGUUCUUUGCUGGUUGAAAAACUUGGUUUAGCCACCACAAAGCAUCCAACUCCUUACAAGUUACAAUGGCUAAAUGACAGAGGCAAACUCAAGGUGACGAAGCAAGCAAGGGUGGCGUUUUCCAUAGGCAAGUACCAAGAUGAGGUGGUUUGUGAUGUCGUACCAAUGCACGCGGGACAUUUGCUAUUGGGGCGUCCUUGGCAAUUUGACCGGCGAGUAGUCCACGACGGCUAUACAAACCGAUAUUCAUUUAAGCACCUUGGAAGGAAUGUUACAUUAGCUCCUCUCACACCGAAGCAAGUGCAUGAAGACCAACUCAAGAUGAAGCAAUCUAUUGAGCGAGAAAAAGAAAAAGAGAAAAAAAAAAGAGUGAAAAGAAAAAGAAAGAAAAGAAAAAGAAAGAAUGAGGAGAGUGAGAUAAAAACAAGAGUGACAAAAGAAAAAGAGCAAGAGUGUGAAAAUAAAAAAAAUAAGUGUUUUUGCUAGAAAAAGAGAGAUUCGAAAAUUGAUGUUGGCAAGGCAACCCAUCUUUGUACUUAUGUAUAAAGAGUGUUUAUUGGAAACUAACGAACUUGACAAUACUUUGCCUACUCCUAUCGUUUCUUUGUUGCAGGAAUUCGGAGAUGUUUUUCCGGAAGAAGUGCCAAAUGGCCUACCUCCCAUUCGAGGAAUCGAGCACCAAAUCGAUUUUGUGCCCGGUGCUGCAAUUCCAAAUAGGCCAGCAUAUAGAAGUAAUCCUGAGGAAAAGAAGGAAUUAGAAAAGCAAGUAGCCGAAUUAAUGGAGAAGGGCUACAUCCGUGAAAGCUUAAGUCUGUGCGCGGUUCCGGUAUUGUUGGUUCCUAAAAAGGAUGGAUCCUGGCGAAUGUGCAUUGACUGCCGCGCUAUCAACAAAAUCACAAUAAAAUAUCGCCAUCCUAUUCCCCGCCUCGACGACAUGCUUGAUGAACUUAGUGGAGCUCAAUUGUUUUCGAAGAUCGAUUUAAAAAGUGGGUAUCAUCAAAUUAGAAUGCGGGAGGGAGACGAAUGGAAAACUGCGUUCAAAACUAAAUAUGGUUUGUAUGAAUGGUUGGUAAUGCCAUUCGGACUUACCAACGCUCCUAGUACUUUCAUGCGUCUCAUGAAUUAUGUUUUACGUUCGUUCAUUGGAAAAUUCUGUGUUGUGUAUUUUGAUGAUAUUUUAGUCUAUAGCAAGAGCUUGGAAGAUCAUAUUCAACAUCUACGUGCCGUGCUUGAAGUCUUACGAAAAGAGGUACUUUAUGCCAAUUUAAAGAAAUGUUCUUUUUGCACUAAUGAAGUUGUUUUUCUAGGCUUUGUGGUAAGUGCUCGUGGAUUAGAAGUUGACCAAGAAAAGGUCAAGGCGAUCAACGAAUGGCCGCGUCCAACGAACAUCAGCCAAGUGAGGAGUUUUCACGGGUUGGCAAGCUUCUAUCGAAGGUUUGUGCCUAAUUUUAGUUCUGUAGCUGCCCCCUUGACAGGUAUAAUUAAGAAAAAUUCUCCUUUUGUGUGGACUGAUGAACAAGAAAAUUCUUUUAAUAAGCUUAAAGAAUGUCUAACUAAUGCACCAUUGUUGUCUUUACCUGAUUUUAACAAAACAUUCAAGAUAGAGUGUGAUGCUUCAGGUAUCGGCAUUGGCGCUGCUUUGAUGCAAGAUGGACGGCCUAUUGCAUACUUUAGUGAAAAGCUUAACGGAGCUACGUUGAAUUAUCCAACGUAUGAUAAGGAACUAUAUGCAUUGGUCCGAGCUCUCGAAACAUGGCAACACUAUUUAUGGCCGAAGGAAUUCGUAAUUCAUUCGGACCACGAGGCUCUAAAGCAUUUGAAGGGAUAAACCAAGCUCAAUAAACGUCAUGCCAAGUGGGUGGAGUAUUUGGAGUCGUUUCCGUACGUGAUCAAGUAUAAAAAGGGUAAGGAAAAUGUUGUAGCCGAUGCCCUAUCACGAAGGUACGCACUUGUCAAUUUAAUGGAUUCUAAAUUGCUUGGUUUUGAAUUUAUCAAAGAUCUUUAUAAAUCCGAUGCUGACUUUGGUGAAAUUUAUGAGUCUUGUUCGCAUGGUGCUUGUGAAAAGUACUUUCAGCAUGAGGGCUAUUUAUUUCGUGAAGGCAAGCUUUGUGUGCCUCAAAGUUCUGUGAGAAACGACCUUGUAGAAGAAGCUCAUAGCGGAUGAUACGACCAUGCCCCGGGCACACUUUUGGAUCAGCUCCCUAAGCAUUGUUUGCAAAUCCAUGCGAGCUGAAUUAGUUCAAUUUCAUUUCGUUAAGCUCCGUUUAGCUCGUUUCCAGCUCACUCGAGCUCAAGUCAACUCAUUCAAGCUCAAUUCAGCUCAAUCUUAACCUAAUGAGCUUAUUUUUAGCUUUCUUUAGCUUGCAUUUAUUUUGCUGAAAUAAACCAUUUAAUUUGUCAUUAGUUAAAUUAGUUGUUUAUCUUAAGUUAGUUAAUUUGUUAAAAUCUGGACAAAUAAUUAAUUAAGUGUUUUAAUUAUAUCUAAAUUAAAUACUUAAUAAAUUAUGAUGUUUUAAAUAUGUCUGAAAUUGUUAAUAUGUAUGGCCAAAUUUAAUGUGCAAAUUAUUGAGUUCAUAUGCUGCUAAUUUAAUGUGUUUGAAAUGCAUUUAACUUGCUGAUUUAAUUUGCUGCAGGUUCAUGAACGGAUUGGUGCAAUGUAUGGGAGUGUGCAUGCACAAUUGAGGUUCAAUGGAUGGCAUUUAAAGGAGCACAUGCAUUUGGGACGUUCAUGCAAGAGGGAGUUGCUGAAAGUUCAUGUAUUUGAAGAUUCAUGGAUCAUAUUUAUGGGGGAAAAUACAUGGGACGUUUCAUGCAUGAUUCAUGCAUUUUCAAGAUGACCAUUCAAGUAUUUUAGGCACAUUAAUGCCUCAUUUAGCCAAGGGAGAUGUAGGAUCAUUAAAGAGCUGCACAUUCAUGGAAUUAUGGAGAUUCUUCAAGGCUAAGGAUGCAUGAAUGCAUCAAGUGAAGCAUCAUGAUGGUUCGGCCAAUUCAUGUACCAUCUUCAAGCAUGAACUGGAUUUUAAUGCUAUUUGUGUGAACAUGUUAAAUACCUGUGUGAACAGAAUUUAAGUUAGUGUGAACAACAUAGAUGCCGAAUAUCAAUAGGCAUUUUAGGCUUAUAAAUAGCUUACUUGUUUAUUGUAAAAGGUUACAAACAUUUCUGAUUAUUAAACUUAUUGUGAGGUUACCUCCAAUCCGAUUUUGUUUGAGUCUCGUCUGACUUAUCUAGCUCGCUAGUGGCGUCAACUCGACUUCUUGAACUUAUCACCAUCCUGGUGUGGCGUUCAUCCACCUUUUUAUACCUUUGGUUCCUACCUCUCUAUAGGUAACGGGUCAAGGUCCAUCUUCUAUCCUUCCACAAAUUUCACCUUAAGCAAUAUAAGACUCGGGCAAUACUUUUUAGUAUUGAACAUUCUUGACGUUUAAGUUUUAUUUUCCAUCUCCAUCAAUUACCUUUUUCUAACCUACCUUGUUUCUAUUCUAAACCGAAUUUAUCAACACCAAACCACUCAUCUAAACCCUCUCAAAGCUUCCGCAACCCUUAGCCUAAAUCACCCAAUUUUGACAACUCCAACUACUCCUCGUAGACGAUCGGGCAACUUUGUGAAACGACUCGAUUAACCUGGGCCGGAUCACAUCAGCAGAGGACUUAUGGGCCACUUCGAAAUUGCUAAAACUUUAGCAAUAUUGCAUGAACAUUUCUAUUGGCCCAAAAUGAAACGUGACGUAAUAAGGAAAUGUGAUCGUUGCAUCACUUGUAAGAAGGCAAAGUCACGAAUCAAACCGCAUGGUUUAUACACCCCGUUGCCUAUUCCUGAUGCUCCGUGGGUAGACAUUUCAAUGGACUUCGUUCUGGGCCUUCCAAGAACCAAAAGAGGGAGAGAUUCAAUAUUUGUUGUUGUAGACCGUUUUUCAAAAAUGGCCCAUUUUAUACCUUGUAAUAAAACUGAUGAUGCUAUUAACGUUGCUAGUCUGUUUUUCAAGGAAGUUGUUAGGUUGCAUGGAAUCCCUCGAACCAUUGUCUCCGAUCGCGACACAAAGUUUCUAAGUCAUUUUUAGAGGACGUUGUGGGGGAAAUUGGGCACCAAACUUCUAUUUUCGACGACAUGCCACCCUCAAACGGAUGGCCAAACCGAAGUAGUCAACCGUGUGCUAUCAACUUUGCUUCGAGCUAUUUUGAAAAAGAAUUUGAAGAUGUGGGAAGAUUGCUUACCUCAUGUUGAGUCCACAUACAAUCGAACCGUUCAUUCUGCUACGAAAUUUUCUCCUUUUGAGGUAGUAUACGGUUUUAACCCCAUUACUCCUCUUGAUUUGAUUCCUAUGCCUUCUAAUGAAUUAGUACAUGUAGAUGGCAAAAAGAAGGCCGAAUUUGUUAAAAAAUUGCACAAAAAUGUUAAGGAUAAUAUUGAGAGGAGAACUGAACAAUAUGUUCGAGGGGCAAAUAAAAGGCGCAAACGAGUCGUGUUCGAACCCGGUGACUGGGUUUGGAUCCACAUGUGCAAAGAACGGUUUCCCGAUCAAAGGAAAUCCAAGCUUCAAUCAAGGGGUGAUGGCCCUUUUCAAGUAUUGGAACGGAUCAAUGACAACGUCUACAAGAUUGACCUACCGGGUGAGUAUGGAGUGAGUGCAAGUUUUAACGUUGCUGGUCUUUCUCCUUUUGAUGUAGGUGACGAUUCGAGGACGAAUCGCUUCGAAGAGAGGGAGGAUGAUAUGAGCUCGCCCAUGAAGAUAGGUGCCGAAUCCAUGGAGUUGCCUUUGGGGCCAAUUACUCGAGCACGUGCCAAGAAGUUCCAAGAUGCUGUAGCAAGCUAUAUUGCUCGAUUGUGGAGUGAUGGGUUGAUUGCCCAUAAAACGCCCAGCUCAACUAGCUUGAUUCACAAUUUCCUACAAGCUGAUUUUAGCUUGUGUCAGCUCAAUUUAGCUCAAUUCCGCACUUAAUUAGUUCAAGGAGCUGAUUAAAUUUAUUUUCAAUAAAUUUAAUUAGUUGUGUUAGUUUAGAAUCAGCUCAAAUCAUUUAAUUAAAUAAAUGUGUCUUAAUCUGGACAUUUUUUUUAAUUCAGCUUAUUAAAUAUGUUUUAUAUUAGUACAUGCCUUUAAUAUUUCCAUAUUNNNNNNNNNNNNNNNNNNNNNNNNNNNNNNNNNNNNNNNNNNNNNNNNNNNNNNNNNNNNNNNNNNNNNNNNNNNNNNNNNNNNNNNNNNNNNNNNNNNNNNNNNNNNNNNNNNNNNNNNNNNNNNNNNNNNNNNNNNNNNNNNNNNNNNNNNNNNNNNNNNNNNNNNNNNNNNNNNNNNNNNNNNNNNNNNNNNNNNNNNNNNNNNNNNNNNNNNNNNNNNNNNNNNNNNNNNNNNNNNNNNNNNNNNNNNNNNNNNNNNNNNNNNNNNNNNNNNNNNNNNNNNNNNNNNNNNNNNNNNNNNNNNNNNNNNNNNNNNNNNNNNNNNNNNNNNNNNNNNNNNNNNNNNNNNNNNNNNNNNNNNNNNNNNNNNNNNNNNNNNNNNNNNNNNNNNNNNNNNNNNNNNNNNNNNNNNNNNNNNNNNNNNNNNNNNNNNNNNNNNNNNNNNNNNNNNNNNNNNNNNNNNNNNNNNNNNNNNNNNNNNNNNNNNNNNNNNNNNNNCGUACCAAUUCCUAAAUACCAAAACGUACCUAAACCAAAUACCAUUUCUUGUUUAUUCCUAAACCGAAUUCGACCAUACUAAUCAUACCAUUUUGACUUAAGCCAAAUCCACAUCUUACUUUGAUCGAACUUAUUUUACUUCUUUGAACACAAAUAUAUUCUUUCUUCUUCUUGUCUAAUAUACUUCUUAGUUUACGAUCGGGAACUAAACGACUCGGGUUCAACUACUAAACUGAGGUCGUAUCAAUAAUAUCGAAACAUAAGUUCAAUCUUAGAUUCGUAUUCACAAUAAGCUUCUGGAUCAUUCUUACCACGAAAUUAGGGAAUUGUGAACUUCGGUUUUGCCAAAGAGGGUUGCCCAUGAUCAUGAAAAUCAGCAUCAGUUCUAGGGACACGUCGAGGAUCGCGCCUAUGAGCAGGAGGCUGGUUAUCCAUAUCUUCUUUAAUUGGCUCUCGAUAUUGAGGCUCUUGAUUUAAUCUCACCUCAUUGAUGGUAGCAGUCAAAGUUCGAAGUGCAGCAGCCUGUUCGUCUAACUGUUGUUGGAGUUUUUUAAAUGUGUCAUAGACAUCAUUAUGGUCAGUAUCACCUUGACCAACCUUAGACAUUUUCAAAAACCUGUAAAAUAAACACUCAACACUCAAAAAUAAAAAUUAGCAAACCUCACCGUUAAUCACUCAAAAAGAAAAUUUUAAUUCUCAAUGAGGUAGAAUUCAGUCUUGUGAGUUCUUUGAGCCGAACUACCAAAGAAUCCUAAUUUGCACUAGGAUGUCAAAAAUUGACGAGACAUGAUACGGGGUUGCGCGCGGACCAAGAUCGAGUUACCAAGUCAUGAAAAACUCCAACGAAAACCCUAAACAAUCAGAUCUGAAACAAAAUAGAAAAUUAAAAGAUUAGAACUUUGAAUUUUCAGAUCUGAAAUAAAAUCCCCAAAUCAGCAAAGAAUCAAAUUGAAAAUAGAAAUGAGUGUUAAUAAGGGUUCUUGAAACCCUAAAAGAGAUUGCGAUUCUGCCCAAUUGAACACCAAGAUAGUUUUCCCCAAAUUUCGAAAAUCUAAUUUCACCCAAAAAGAGUAUGGAAGAACCCUAGAAAUUGGGGAUUUUUGGGCUGAUUCCUUAAGAUAGAAAAAGGCUGAAAACACAAUAAGAACAGAAAAUAAAUUAGAUAAAGAUUCAGCACAAGCAGAAAUAAAGAAAGAAUUGACAGCAAGAAAUUAAAAGAUAAGUCCUAAGAAGCCUUGAAAUCCCGAAAGAUCUCACAACUCCCUUCAAACGACUCUAAUCUCCCCUCCAAACAAUAUCAAUGGCAAGAAGAAGGCUGAAGAUGGCUACCACAAUCAAAAGAUUGUUAAAACAACUUCUAAAGAAAACUCAAGAGAGAAUUCUUGGAGAAAAACUCAAAGAGAAUUCUGCACUUAAACAAAUCUGAUAUUUUUGAUAUAAUUGAGAAGUUGUUUACAAGGUGGCCAGCCAUGCCUUUAAAUAGGCCUUAUAACUAGUCCUAAUCUAAUUAGAAAACUAAAAUAAAAAAAAAUCCUAAUUAUUUUAAUAUGGAAAUUCGGUCAAAGGUCUUUAUUUGGGACUCUUGGACUGAAUAUUUACAUAAAAAAUUUAAACUAAGUAAAUAAAUAAAUAAAUAAAUAAAAAUAAAAAUAAAACUUUACAACUUGGGCCACUUUAACAAUUUGGCCUGAUUUUCAACUAAGUAUGUAUGGAUUUCUUGAUUGGGCUGGGAAUUUGCUUAUUGGGCCUCGCCUUCAAGAAUUUGGGCUUUUGUGACUCGUAUCACACUUAGAAUUAUUCUUAAAUUUCAGAUUUGUUGAGAGCAGAAUUUUCUUUGAGUUUUCUCCAAGAUUUCUCUCUUGAGUUUUCUUUAGAAGUUAUUUUAACAAUCUUUUGAUUGUGGGAGCCAUCUUCAACCUUAUUCUUGCCAUUCAUAUUCUUUGGAAGGGAGAUUAGAGCCGUUUGAAGAGAUUUGUGAAGUCUUUCGGGAUUUCAAGGAUCUUUAGGACUUAUCUUUUAUUUCUUGCGUUUCGUUUUCUUUAUUUAAUUUCUCUUGUGUCGAUUCUUUAUCUCAUUUGUUUGUUGUUCUUCUUGUGUUUUUCCAGCCAUAAUCAACUCAAAGAAUCGAAUUAAAUCAUCAUUCAUUGGCAGCAAGAAGUCGUUCUCAAAUCCCCAAAGUUUAGGGUUUGGCCAAUUGGGUCAUAAUCUGCUUGGAGUUCUUUUGGUUGCUGAAAUUUGGGCAAUUCAUCUUAGGUGUUCAAUUGGACCGAAUCGCAUUUUAAUUCACUUCUUGAAUCGUUCAAUUUCAUCAAUUUCUUUCUUUUCUUUUUGCCGCCCCAAAUUCCUAAUCUUCCAUUAAAAAUCUGAUUGUUUUAAUUUACUUACUGUUUUGGUGUUCUUGGGCAGAUUCAGCUUGUGGGAUUUCACUAUUGGAGUUCGAUUUCAUCUUUUUGAACUUCGAAGACAUCUAUUCAUUCGUUCUUUGUUCCUUGCUGCUCAUUUAAUUGAAUUUGGGAAUUUAAUUACAGAUCUGAUUUGUUUUAAUUUGAUUCUUUGUUUUUGUUUUUAGAUCUAUUCGUCUAGAGCCUCGUAUGAGUUUUUCCGUGACUUGGCAACUUGAUCUUGGUCCGCGCGCGCCUCUAUAUCAAGACACUAAUUAAUUUGUGUUGCACCGAGGAAGAAUUGUGCACACCUUAAAAUCCUACUAACACAAGAAACAAGAAGGUGUUAGAUAGUGUAAAGGAAGAAUAAAGGAAAACAAAUGAAAACCUACAGCUAAGAAUCAAUAAAAAUUGUUGAAAUCGAAAAACCCGAAAAACUGCGGAGUAACUUGACAACUUCAUUCAAGGUGUUCCCGAUCUCCAAAAAUCACGAAAUUAAAUUGUAAUGUCCUUAAAUAUUUAAUUUUUGAUCUGGAAAGUUUGGGCACCAAACUCAACCCGCUAAAUAUUUUUAUUGGAUUUCGUCUUUUUCAAUUUUUUUAAUUUUUUGACUGACUUUUUUGCGGGAAAUAUUUUUUUAUAUUCAAUCACAGUGCUACAAAUAUGUAUGUAAAAUUUUAGAUCAAUCGGACAAUUUUUCCCCACUCAAAUGAAGUUUUUUUUGAAAAAUUUUUCUGGGUAAAACUGUUGUUUGUAGUUUAAAAAUAGAGAUCAGUUUAGAAAUCAACCAAGAACACCCAAAAUGCCCAAAAUUUGAUACCAAAUGAUAGGGGGUUGCGCGCGGACCAAGAUCAAGUUGUCAAGUCAGGGAAACUCCUACGAAAGCUUUAAACACUUGGAUCUGAAAAAAUGCAGCACAAAGAUUAAAUCUGGAAAUUUCAAGAUCUGGAAUAAAACCCUAAAAUAACAAAGAACAAAUCAAGAAUCGAAACAACUAUUAUUAGGAAAUUCAGACGACAGAAACUCGGGAAUAAACUCCCAAUAAAUCCUUAAACCAGCCGAAUCUGUCCAAGGCAACAAGAUGAAGAGUUAAUUCAAUAAAAGAACAAAUCAAAUUAAGGAAAUUUGGACAGGAAGUGAUAGAGGGUUACGCGCGGACCAAGAUCGAGUUGUCAAGUCACGAGAAACUCCUACGAAGGCUCUAAACGAAUCAGAUCUGAAAACAAAACAGCAAUUAAGAUUAAAUUAAUCAAAAUUGAAAUCAAAUCCCCAAAAAAAACUAAGAACAGCCAAGAAACAAAGAACUUAAGAAUAAAUGGUUUUCGGAAUGCAAGAACACAAAAAUCGAUCUCCAAGAUUGAUUCCCCAACCAGCCAAAUCUGUUAAAGAACACCAAAACCAAAAAACAAAUCAAAAUGAUCAGAUUGCUAAUGGAAUUUAAAAGUUGUCACGGCAAGAAGGAAAGAAAGAAAUCGAUGGAAUAAAACGAUUCGGGAAGUGAACAAAGAUUUCCAUUCUGCCCAAUUGAAUCCCAAGAUGGUUUCCCCCAAAUUACAGCAAUCGAAUGUACCAAAGAAGACUAGAGAUGAAUCGGCAAGAACCCUAGAAAUUGGGGAUUUUUAGGCCGACUAUAUGCUGCCAAUAAGAGAAGAAUUGACCGAAUCUUUAAGAUUGAAAGAGGCUGAAAACAAAACAAGAAGAGAAAUUAAAUCAAUAACGAUAAUUGGCACAAACAGAAACUAAAAGAAAAUUGAUCAGCAAGAAAACAAAUUAAAAGUCCUAAGAAGCCUUGAAAUCCCGAAAGAUUUUACAAUUCCCUUCAAUCGGCUCUAAUCUUCCCUCCAAAGAAUAUCAAUGGCAAGAAGAAGGCUGAAGAUGGCUCCCACAAUCAAAAGAUUAUUAAAACAACUUCUAAAGAAAACUCAAAGAGAAUUCUGCACUCAACAAAUAUGAAAUUUUGAUAUAUUUCUAAGUGGUGAAUACAAGGGUGGCCGGCCAUCCUUUAAAUAGGCCUUAAACUAAUCCUAAUCUCAUUAGGAAAAUUUAAAAGUUAAACCUAAUUAAUAAAAAUAAUAGGGAAAUUCGGCUAUGAUACAUGGGUUGCGCGCGGACGAAGAUCGAGUUGCCAAGUCACGAGAAACUCCUAUGAAAGCUCUAGACGAAUCAGAUCUGAAAUCAAAACAAAGUACAAGAUUAAAAGCAAAUCAGAAUUGAAUUGAAAUUCCCCAAAUUCAAUUAAAAGAGCAGCAAGAAACAAAGAAAUAGAAUAAGCGAAUCAAACGGAAUUGAAAGUAUGGAAAGGAUGCGAAUCUGCCAAGGGAUUGAUUCGGCCAAGAAUGCCUAAUUUCCAGCAAUCAAUUGAUCCCCAAAUUGAAAGAGAUCCAAUCGGCCAAACCCUAGGAAUAGGGGAUUUUUGAGAACGACUCUUUGCUACUAAUGAAUGAUGAUUUAAUUCGAUUCUUUGAGUUGAAUAUGGCUGGAAAAACACAAGAAGAACAGCAAAAAAAUGAGAUAAAGAAUCGGCACAAGUAGGAAUAAAGAAAUAAAACGAAACAGCAAGAAAUAAAGAAAAGUCCUAAGAACCCUUGAAUUCCCGAAAGAAUUCACAAAUUCCUUCAAACGGCUCUAAUCUCCCCUCCAAAGAAUAUCGAUGGCAAGAAGAAGGUUGAAGAUGGCUCCCACAAUCAAAAGAUUGUUAAAACAACUUCUAAAGAAAACUCAAGAGAGAAAUCUUGGAGAAAACUCAAAGAAAAUUCUUGAUACGAGUCACAAAGGCCCAACCCAAGCUCAAGAAGGUGAUGGGCUCAAAUCAAGAAAAUCAAGAUUCACUUUCUUGUUUUCAAGAAAGUCAAGAAACUGAAUCUUGGCCUAAUUUUGCUGUUUGGAGCGAUUUCAUGAAUCAAGAAAAUCAAGAUUUCAAAUCUUGGAAAUCUUGGUCCGAGAAAUCGAAUCUUGCAGCCAAAGCGCAUUGGAUCUCCGUUACGAGCAUCAACGACCCAAUUUCGGUAGGAGAUGGAUGGCGAGGCCCAAUAACCAAAUUCCAGCCCAAUCAAGAAAUUCCUUCAUACUUGGUUGAAAAUCAGGCCAAAAUGUCGAAGGGCCCAAUUUAUAAACAUUUUAAUUGUUUAAUUUAAUUUUUUAAGCUUUAGGAACAUACAUGUAAAAUUCAGCCCAAAAACAGCCCAUAUAUAUAUAUGCUUGGCCGAAUUUUCCUUUAUUUAUUCUAUUAAUUAGGUUUAAUUUUAUUAGUUACUUGCUAGAUUAGGAUUACUUGAGGCCUAUUUAAAGGCAUGGCCGGCCACCCCUUGUAAAUAACACUUAGAUUCAUUCUUAAAUUUCAGAUUUGAGAGAGCAGAAUUUUCUUUGAGUUUUCUCCAAGAUUUCUCUCUUGAGUUUUCUUUAGAAGUUUUUUUAACAAUCUUUUGAUUAUGGGAGCCAUCUUCAACCUUCUUCUUGCCAUCGAUAUUCUUUGGAGGGGAGAUUAGAGCCGUUUGAAGAGAUUUGUGAGAUCUUUUGGGAUUUCAAGGAUCUUUAGGACUUAUCUUUUAUUCUUGCUGUUCAAUUUCUUUUCUUUAUUUCUGUUGAUGCCGAAUCUAUAUCUAAUUUCUUUACUAUUUUUGUUUGUGUUUCAGCCUUGAUUCAAACUCCAAGAACUCUUCAUUUAAUCGGUUCUUUUAUUGGCAGCAUCUAAUCGAUUCAAAAUUCCCCAAAAUUUAGGCUUCUUGCCGUUUUCUAUUUCUUCUUGUUGGGUGAAAUUCGACUACUAAAAUUUGAGCAAUUUGAUACGAGUCACAAAGGCCCAACCCAAGUUCAAGAAAGUGAUGGGCUCAAAUUGCCACAAGGCCCAAUAACGAGAUCAAAGGCCUGACAAAUGCAGUCCAAACUAAAUGGGACCAUUCAAGAGUUUGUUAGCAAGGCCUUAGAUGCAUACACGAGAGAACAAGAAAAUCAAGAUUCACUUUCUUGUUUUCAAGAAAAUCAAGAAACCGAAUCUUGGCCCAAUUUUGCUGUUCGAAGAGAUUUCAAGAAUCAAGAAAAUCAAGAUUUCAAAUCUUGGAAAUCUUGGUCCAAGAAACCAAAUCUUGUAGCCAAAAUGCAUUGGAUCUCCGUUACGAGCGUCAACGACCCAAUUUCAAAAGGAGAUGGAUCACGAGCCCAAAUUCUUGAAGGCGAGGCCCAAUAACCAAAUUCCAGCCCAAUCAAGAAAUUCCUUCAUACUUAGUUGAAAAUCAGGCCAAAAUAUCAAAGGGCCCAAUUUAUAAACAUUUUAAUUGUUUAAUUUAAUUUUUUAAGCUUUAGGAACAUACAUGUAAAAUUCGGCCCAAAAACAGCCCAUAUAUAUGCUUGGCCGAAUUUUCCUUUAUUUAUUCUAUUAAUUAGGUUUAAUUUUAUUAGUUACUUGUUAGAUUAGGAUUACUUGAGGCCUAUUUAAAGGCAUGGCCGGCCACCCCUUGUAAAUAACACUUAGAUUUAUUCUUAAAUUUCAGAUUUGAGAGAGCAGAAUUUUCUUUGAGUUUUCUCCAAGAUUUCUCUCUUGAGUUUUCUUUAGAAGUUGUUUUAAAAAUCUUUUGAUUGUGGGAGCCAUCUUCAACCUUAUUCUUGCCAUCGAUAUUCUUUGGAGGGGAGAUUAGAGCCGUUUGAAGAGAUUUGUGAGAUCUUACGGGAUUUCAAGGAUCUUUAGGACUUAUCUUUUAUUCUUGCUGUUCAAUUUCUUUUCUUUAUUUCUGUUGAUGCCGAAUCUAUAUCUAAUUUCUUUGCUGUUUUUGUUUGUGUUUCAGCCUUGAUUCAAACUCCAAGAACUCUUCAUUUAAUCGGUUCUUUUAUUGGCAGCAUCUAAUUGAUUCAAAAUUCCCCAAAAUUUAGGGUUCUUGCCGUUUUCUAUUUCUUCUUGUUGGGUGAAAUUCGGCUGCUGAAAUUUGGGCAAUUCAUCUUGGGUGUUCAAUUGGACCGAAUCGCAACUUAAAUUCACUUCUUGAACCGUUCAAUUUCAUCUAUUUCUUUCUUUUCUUUUUGCCGCCCAAAUCCCUAAUCUUCCAAUUAAAAAUCUGAUUGUUUCAAUCUACUUACUGUUUUGGUGUUCUUGGCAGAUUCGGUUUGUGGGAUUUCACUAUUGGAGUUCGAUUUCAUCUUCUUGAACCCCGAAUACAUUUAUUCAUUCGUUCUUUGUUCCUUUGCUGCUCAUUUAAUUGAAUUUGGGGAUUUAAUUUCAGAUCUGAUUAGUUUAAUCUUGUUCUUUGUUUUAAUUUUUAGAUCUGUUCGUUUAGAGCAUUCGUAGGAGUUUCCCGUGCCUUGGCAACUCGAUCUUGGUCCGCGCGCAACCCCGUAUCAUUUGGUAUCAGAUUUUGGGCGUUUUGGGUGUUCUUGAUUGAUUUCUAAACUGAUCUCGAUUUUUUAAAGCAAAAACAGUAGUUUUACCCAGAAAAAUUGUUCAAAAAAAUUCAUUUAAGUGGGUAAACAUUGUCUACUUUAUCUGAAAUUUUACAUACAUAUUUUUUGCACUGUGAUUGAAUAUAAAAAAUUUAAUCCCGAAAAAAAAUCAGUCAAAAAAGUCAAAAAAAAUCAAAAAAUAUGAAAUUCAAUAAAAAUUUAAAAAAAGAUUCAGCGGGUUGAAUUUGGUGCCCAAACUUUCCAGGUCAAAAAUUGAAUAUAUAAGGACACUCAAGAUUUAGUUUCGUGAUUUUUGGAGAUCGAAAACACCUCGAACGAAGUUGUCAAGUUACUCCGCAGUUUUUCGGGUUUUUCUGUUUUCAGCAAUUUUUAUUGAUUCUUAGCUGUAGGUUUUCAUUUGUUUACCUUUAUUAUUCCUUUACGUUAUCUAACACCUUCUUGUUUCUUAUGUUAGUAGGAUUUACACGUGUGCACAACUUCUUCCUCGGUGCAACACGAAUCAAUUGGUGUCUCGUCAGUUUUUGGCAUCCUAGUGCAAAUUAGGAUUCUUUGGUAGAUCGGUUCAGCCACUAUCUAAUUGGUUGAUAUAAACUCUCCUAAAUGACUCACAAGACUGAAUUCUAGCUCAUUGAGAAUUUGAUUUUCUUUUUGAGUGAUUAACGGUAAGGUUUGCUAACUUUUAUUUUUGAGUGUUGAGUGUUUAUUUUUUGCAGAUUUUUAGAAAAUGUCCAAAGAUGACCAUAAUGAUACACUUAUGAAAGUCCAACAACAAUUAGAUGAACAUGCUGCUGCAAUCACACAAAUAAAUGCUACACUUCAAGCAUUGAAUACUACUUUGAAUGAGGUACGAUUGAAUCAAGAGGUUCAAUCUCAAGAUCCAAUCAAGGAAGAUAGAGAUAACUAGCCCCAUAGGCGCGGCCCUCGACGUGUCCCUAGAAUGGAUGAUGAUUUUCAUGAUCGUGGGCAACCUUCUUUGGCAAAACCAAAGAGUGAGCAGCAACGAUAACAUCUCUUUCAUACUCGCUGCCAUGUACAAGGUAAGCUUUGUAGAGUUAUUAUUGAUGGUGAAAGUUGCUCGAACGUAGCCAGCACGACGAUGGUGGAAAAGCUUUGCUUAACCACUACCAAGCAUCCACAACCUUAUCAACUACAAGAGCUUAGCAACGAAGGUCGAUUUAAGGUCACUCAACAAGUGCGCAUCGCCUUUUCUAUCGGUAAGUAUCAAGACGAAGUUGUGUGCGACGUAAUGCCUAUUCAAGCCUGCCAUUUGUUGCUAGGAGAACCAUGGCAACUGGAUCGAAAAGUCACUCACGAUGGUCAUACCAAUAGGUAUUCUUUCAAGCAUCAAGGAAAGAAACUCACCUUAGUGCCGCUCACUCCGGAACAAGUCCAUGAGGACCAAAUCAAAUUGAAAAAUUCUGUUGUUAAAACAAGUGAGGAAAAAGAAAAAGAGAAUGCAAAAGACCAAAAAUAGAUUGAGAGUGAAAAAGAAUGUGAAACAGAAAAGAAAAUUGAAAAAGAAGUUGAAGAAAGAAGAGAAAAUGAGUUAGAAAAAGAAACAAAAGAAAAAAGACGAGGGAAGGGUAGUGAGGAAUGUUUUCACUAACCAAGAUAUGAAUUUUUCUUUUGUUGCUACUUUUCAGGUUCCUGAAGGACCGAAAGAUAACUUUCAACUUCAAUACCUCUCAAAUGAAAGACGCA
This 37128-nucleotide long non-coding RNA is filed under the name Gossypium barbadense (sea-island cotton). RNAcentral's name for it is "long non-coding RNA (GBAR_LNC014872)". Lineage: Eukaryota; Viridiplantae; Streptophyta; Magnoliopsida; Malvales; Malvaceae. The record is from RNAcentral.